AGAGCGAACGCUGGCGGCAGGCCUAACACAUGCAAGUCGAGCGCCCAGCAAUGGGAGCGGCAGACGGGAUAGUAACACGUGGGAACGUACCUUUCAGUUCGGAACAACCCAGGGAAACUUGGGCUAAUACCGAAUACGCCCGUAAGGGGAAAGAUUUAUCGCUGAAAGAUCGGCCCGCGUCUGAUUAGCUAGUUGGUGGGGUAAUGGCCCACCAAGGCGACGAUCAGUAGCUGGUCUGAGAGGAUGAUCAGCAUCACUGGGACUGAGACACGGCCCAGACUCCUACGGGAGGCAGCAGUGGGGAAUAUUGGACAAUGGGCGCAAGCCUGAUCCAGCCAUGCCGCGUGGAUGAUGAAGGCCCUAGGGUUGUAAAGUCCUUUCGGCGGGGAAGAUAAUGACGGUACCCGCAGAGAAGCCCCGGCUAACUUCGUGCCAGCAGCCGC
Molecule: ribosomal RNA, 443 nt
Filed under: uncultured bacterium
Lineage: Bacteria
Description: SSU rRNA
Rfam family: Bacterial small subunit ribosomal RNA
Source: RNAcentral